RNAcentral lists this non-coding RNA (112 nucleotides) under human gut metagenome. Its description in RNAcentral is "FMN riboswitch (RFN element)". It matches the Rfam family "FMN riboswitch aptamer (RFN element)". From Rfam's summary of the family: The RFN element is a highly conserved domain that is found frequently in the 5'-untranslated regions of prokaryotic mRNAs that encode for flavin mononucleotide (FMN) biosynthesis and transport proteins. The record is from RNAcentral. RNAcentral also lists the same sequence under 2 other names.
UGUCUUCGGGGCGGGGUGAAAUUCCCGACCGGCGGUAUAGUCCGCGAGCGCUUCGGCGCACGAUUUGGUGAGAUUCCAAAACCGACCGUAACAGUCUGGAUGAAAGAAGACG